UUUUUUUCUUCACAAGCAGCAAAUUUAUGAUCUCUUUCACAUUCAAAUCUUUGACGACGAACGAGUAAAUUCAAUCUAUUUAAACCUCAUUGUAUCAUCCUCAUUCCAUCAGCUUCGAAUCAUAAACCAUCAACUGAAUUCUCCAUUUGCUCUUUUCACAAAAUAACUCAAAUCUGCCACUCUCACUACAAAUUUCAGCUUUGCCACUUUCAGCUGGUAACUUUAAUUUCUUCUGUAAUUUCAUUUUAGUACAUCAAUUAUUUUAUGCAAAAACAAAACUUUCACAAAUCUUUCGUUUUACACAGCAUAUGCAUAAUCAAAUAGAAUAAAUCUUAUAAAUUACAUGAAAAAGGGGAAAUAGAAAUAGAAGAGGAAGAGAGGGCGUCUGGUGGCUGCUGCGGGGCUGCUGUCCCAGUGGCGCCACUGCUGCGCUGUAGACACGGGGGUGAAGUCGUUGGAAAGAGGCGACGAAGAGAGGGAGAGUGAGGGCGAGAGGAGGCAGAGCCGCCAGCUCCGGCGGCGGUGUUGCCGCCUGGUGGUGGCGGAAGGGGAAGACCGAGGGAGAGAAGGGAGAGGGAGAGGGAGAGGGAGAAAAGGGGAAGAAGGGGGCUGCGUAGGAAAUGGGCGUGAGAGUUGUGUGUGUGUUUGUGAAGUGUGAAUGUGUAAGUUUAAUUAGGGAAAUGUUAGAUGGGCUUGACUUUAGGUUAGUUUAAUUAUAAAUGGGCUUUAAUUGGGGCUUAAUUUAUUGAAUAAGUUGGGCUUAAUUCUACUUUUAAUAUGGCUGCAUUUACAUAUAUUUUUACAAUGAUAUUAUAAAAUUUUAUAUUUUCAAUUUACACUAUUAAUUUAAAUUUAGUUUUCAUUAAAUAUUGAGCUCAAAUAUUUUCAUAAGAAAAACUCUUUUAUAAUCUAUUAGACCAAUAAUUUUUAAAUGGCUAUAUGAUAAUAAAUUCUUAAGAUUUAAAUUACUAUUAUUAUUAUUUUUUUUAAUUCAAUUAGGCCCUUAUGUUUAUUAUUUGAAUUUAUCUGACUAGGUGCGGCGCGACUAGGACAUAACUGUUGAUCUGAAAUUAUUCAAGUUAUCUAUCAAAUCCAUAUUUUCAGGUGUGGGAUUUAUUUCAGUACAUGCACGUGGUUAAUAUUUGUCCAUUUUAAUAUUAUGUGUUUACCGUAUGUGUUGUAAAAAUAUUUAUCGCUAGGGGCCAGCAUAAUUGGUCCAGGACUUCACCGUCCUUGGUAUGCCACAAUGCGAUUUCAUGUUACAGGGUUGAAACCAUUAUAUUGUCGCCAGGGGCCCACAUAUAGGGUCCGGGACAUUAAAGUCCUUGGAUUGCCACAGUGCGUAUGGAAGUUAUGUUACGUUAUGACAAUAUGUGUUACCAUUUUAUUAACAUGGACAAUUAUUGCAUGUUCCCACAUUGAGUGUACCCUGUAUGCUCAUCCCAUAUUCAACAGUUUCAGGUGAUUGAUAUCGGAGGCGCGUGGAGAGUCGAAUGGGCGCGUCGAAUCUACUUAAAAAUAAAUGUUUCCCAAAACAUAUUAUGUUAUUUCAUGUGAUAUCUCUUGAUUAUGU
Molecule: long non-coding RNA, 1573 nt
Filed under: Salvia miltiorrhiza (redroot sage)
Lineage: Eukaryota; Viridiplantae; Streptophyta; Magnoliopsida; Lamiales; Lamiaceae
Description: long non-coding RNA (SMIL_LNC007989)
Source: RNAcentral